This 933-nucleotide long non-coding RNA is filed under the name Monodelphis domestica (gray short-tailed opossum). Its description in RNAcentral is "lncRNA (ENSMODG00000035948.2)". Lineage: Eukaryota; Metazoa; Chordata; Mammalia; Didelphimorphia; Didelphidae. The record is from RNAcentral.
GAACUCUAGAUUCCACAUUGACCUCUCUUACUGGGUUUUUGUGAUACUUCUUCCUCUAACCCUACUUAUAUAACUAUUACUUAGUCAAUAUGUGCAGAACUCAUUCUCUUACCCCCAACACACCUGUUUACCCAACUUCCCAACUACUAUCAAAGGUAAAACUAUUCUUUAAAGUUCAGUGUCAUCUUUGAAUCCAAAUUAGCAUUCAUUCCACCUACCCUGUCUGUUAAGAAUUUUUAUGAUAUAUACCUUAAUAAUGAUUCUUAUUUGUAUAAACCUACAAAUAUUACAAUUAUGCAUAUUAAAUAUGUCUAUUUACAUAUUAUUCACUGUGCAUAUCUAUUAGAUAUUAUGCAUAUAUAUAAUUUUAUAGGUAUAUAUAUAAUUGCCAAUUAAGGGAAUCUAGAUUUUCUAAUAGGCUUUUUUUUUUAUCUUUCAGACUCCAUCUUUCCAGUUGUACUAGAGAUGAAAACUUGGUGAAUUAUAGUGGGGGGAAAUGUAUCGAUGUUGCACCAGGAAGUAAGCAAAAGAAAGAGACUGAAUCUUGAGCCCCUCUCCUACACUACUUCCUGUUUCUUCCUUACCAACUGUCUGGAUGAAGGUUUUUCUCACAGAUGGUAAGGGGUUUAUUGGGAAACAACAGGAUGGGAAACUGAGGAAUUACAGCAUAAACUGCGUGAACUCCAUGAAUCCGGAACUGCAGUACAAGCCGGACCACUAGACUUUUCACUUCAUGACCUGAACCCAGGAGAAAAGGUGUACAUUAAGAAUUUCCAGUGUCCUGGAGUAACUCAGCCUUCCUGGAAAGGACUAUUCCAAAUAUUGUUAACUACUCCAACAUCUAUAAAGGUUGGAGAGAAGGACUCUUGGUUUCAUUGCUCACAGAUAUUUUUCUUCAUUCUUUGUAUGAUAUGUGAGAGAAAAGAAGAAUGA